RNAcentral lists this ribosomal RNA (2649 nucleotides) under Staphylococcus haemolyticus. RNAcentral's name for it is "23S ribosomal RNA". It matches the Rfam family "Bacterial large subunit ribosomal RNA". The record is from RNAcentral. Lineage: Bacteria; Bacillati; Bacillota; Bacilli; Caryophanales; Staphylococcaceae.
AGAUUAAGUUAUUAAGGGCGCACGGUGGAUGCCUUGGCACUAGAAGCCGACGAAGGACGUUACUAACGACGAUAUGCUUUGGGUAGCUGUAAGUAAGCGUUGAUCCAGAGAUUUCCGAAUGGGGGAACCCAGCACGAGUUAUGUCGUGUUAUCGACAAGUGAAUUCAUAGCUUGUCAGAAGGCAGACCCGGAGAACUGAAACAUCUUAGUACCCGGAGGAAGAGAAAGAAAAAUCGAUUCCCUGAGUAGCGGCGAGCGAAACGGGAAGAGCCCAAACCAAUAAGCUUGCUUAUUGGGGUUGUAGGACACUCUAUACGGAGUUACAAAGGAAUAUAUUAGACGAAUCAUCUGGAAAGUUGAAUCAAAGAAGGUAAUAAUCCUGUAGUUGAAAAUAUAUUCUCUCUUGAGUGGAUCCUGAGUACGACGGAGCACGUGAAAUUCCGUCGGAAUCUGGGAGGACCAUCUCCUAAGGCUAAAUACUCUCUAGUGACCGAUAGUGAACCAGUACCGUGAGGGAAAGGUGAAAAGUACCCCGGAAGGGGAGUGAAAGAGAACUUGAAACCGUGUGCUUACAAGUAGUCAGAGCCCGUUAAUGGGUGAUGGCGUGCCUUUUGUAGAAUGAACCGGCGAGUUACGAUCUGAUGCAAGGUUAAGCAGGAGAUGUGGAGCCGUAGCGAAAGCGAGUCUGAAUAGGGCGUUGAGUAUUUGGUCGUAGACCCGAAACCAGGUGAUCUACCCAUGGUCAGGUUGAAGUUCAGGUAACACUGAAUGGAGGACCGAACCGACUUACGUUGAAAAGUGAGCGGAUGAACUGUGGGUAGCGGAGAAAUUCCAAUCGAACUUGGAGAUAGCUGGUUCUCUCCGAAAUAGCUUUAGGGCUAGCCUCAAGUGAUGAUUAUUGGAGGUAGAGCACUGUUUGGACGAGGGGCCCCUCUCGGGUUACCGAAUUCAGACAAACUCCGAAUGCCAAUUAAUUUAACUUGGGAGUCAGAACAUGGGUGAUAAGGUCCGUGUUCGAAAGGGAAACAGCCCAGACCACCAGCUAAGGUCCCAAAAUAUAUGUUAAGUGGAAAAGGAUGUGGCGUUGCCCAGACAACUAGGAUGUUGGCUUAGAAGCAGCCAUCAUUUAAAGAGUGCGUAAUAGCUCACUAGUCGAGUGACACUGCGCCGAAAAUGUACCGGGGCUAAACAUAUUACCGAAGCUGUGGAUUGUCCGUAGGACAAUGGUAGGAGAGCGUUCUAAGGGCGUUGAAGCAUGAUCGCAAGGACAUGUGGAGCGCUUAGAAGUGAGAAUGCCGGUGUGAGUAGCGAAAGACGGGUGAGAAUCCCGUCCACCGAUUGACUAAGGUUUCCAGAGGAAGGCUCGUCCGCUCUGGGUUAGUCGGGUCCUAAGCUGAGGCCGACAGGCGUAGGCGAUGGAUAACAGGUUGAUAUUCCUGUACCACCUAGCAUCGUUUUAAUCGAUGGGGGGACGCAGUAGGAUAGGCGAAGCGUACGAUUGGAUUGUACGUCUNNNNNNNNNNNNNNNNNNNNNNNNNNNNNNNNNNNNNNNNNNNNNNNNNNNNNNNNNNNNNNNNNNNNNNNNNNNNNNNNNNNNNNNNNNNNNNNNNUGGUUAGCUUCUGCGAAGCUACGAAUCGAAGCCCCAGUAAACGGCGGCCGUAACUAUAACGGUCCUAAGGUAGCGAAAUUCCUUGUCGGGUAAGUUCCGACCCGCACGAAAGGCGUAACGAUUUGGGCACUGUCUCAACGAGAGACUCGGUGAAAUCAUAGUACCUGUGAAGAUGCAGGUUACCCGCGACAGGACGGAAAGACCCCGUGGAGCUUUACUGUAGCCUGAUAUUGAAAUUCGGCACAGCUUGUACAGGAUAGGUAGGAGCCUUUGAAACGUGAGCGCUAGCUUACGUGGAGGCGCUGGUGGGAUACUACCCUAGCUGUGUUGGCUUUCUAACCCGCACCACUUAUCGUGGUGGGAGACAGUGUCAGGCGGGCAGUUUGACUGGGGCGGUCGCCUCCUAAAAGGUAACGGAGGCGCUCAAAGGUUCCCUCAGAAUGGUUGGAAAUCAUUCAUAGAGUGUAAAGGCAUAAGGGAGCUUGACUGCGAGACCUACAAGUCGAGCAGGGUCGAAAGACGGACUUAGUGAUCCGGUGGUUCCGCAUGGAAGGGCCAUCGCUCAACGGAUAAAAGCUACCCCGGGGAUAACAGGCUUAUCUCCCCCAAGAGUUCACAUCGACGGGGAGGUUUGGCACCUCGAUGUCGGCUCAUCGCAUCCUGGGGCUGUAGUCGGUCCCAAGGGUUGGGCUGUUCGCCCAUUAAAGCGGUACGCGAGCUGGGUUCAGAACGUCGUGAGACAGUUCGGUCCCUAUCCGUCGUGGGCGUAGGAAAUUUGAGAGGAGCUGUCCUUAGUACGAGAGGACCGGGAUGGACAUACCUCUGGUGUACCAGUUGUCGUGCCAACGGCAUAGCUGGGUAGCUAUGUAUGGACGGGAUAAGUGCUGAAAGCAUCUAAGCAUGAAGCCCCCCUCAAGAUGAGAUUUCCCAACUUCGGUUAUAAGAUCCCUCAAAGAUGAUGAGGUUAAUAGGUUCGAGGUGGAAGCGUGGUGACACGUGGAGCUGACGAAUACUAAUCGAUCGAAGACUUAAUCAAUUU